AUCCCUUCGGGGUGACGAUAUUAUUGACUGAGUGGCGGACGGGUGAGUAACGCGUGGGUAACCUACCUUGUACAGGGGGAUAACAGUUGGAAACGACUGCUAAUACCGCAUAAGCGCACAGUUUCGCAUGGAACAGUGUGAAAAGUUUUUUCGGUAUAAAAUGGACCCGCGUCUGAUUAGCUGGUUGGUGAGGUAACGGCCCACCAAGGCAACAAUAAGUAGCCAACCUGAGAGGGUGACCGGCCACAUUGGGACUGAAACACGGCCCAAACUCCUACGGGAGGCAGCAUUGGGGAAUAUUGCACAAUGGGCGAAAGCCUGAUGCACCGACCCCCCGGGAGCGAAAAAUUAUUUCGGUAUGUAAAGCUCUUUCACCAGGGAAAAUAAUGACGGUACCUGACUAAAAAGCACCGGCAAAAUACUUGCCAGCAGCCGCGGUAAUACUUAGGGUGCAGGCGUUAUCCGGAUUUACGGGGUGUAAAGGGAGCGUAGGCGGUUUUACAAGUCUGAUGUGAAAGCCCGGGGCUCAACUCCGGUUUUGCAUUGGAAACUGUAAAAUUAGAGUGUCGAAGGGGUAAGUGGAAUUCCUAGUGUAGCGGUGAAAUGCGUAAAUUUAAGGAGGAACACCAGUGGCGAAGGCGGCUUACUGGACAAUUACGGACGCUAAGGCUCGAAAGCGUGGGGAGCAAACAGGAUUAGAUACCCUGGUAGUCCACGCCG
RNAcentral lists this ribosomal RNA (720 nucleotides) under Pseudobutyrivibrio sp. Its description in RNAcentral is "bacterial SSU rRNA". It matches the Rfam family "Bacterial small subunit ribosomal RNA", at positions 74 to 802 of the family's 1533-position model. The record is from RNAcentral. Lineage: Bacteria; Bacillati; Bacillota; Clostridia; Lachnospirales; Lachnospiraceae.